Molecule: microRNA precursor, 52 nt
Filed under: Mustela putorius furo (domestic ferret)
Lineage: Eukaryota; Metazoa; Chordata; Mammalia; Carnivora; Mustelidae
Description: mir-1302 microRNA precursor family
Rfam family: mir-1302 microRNA precursor family
Source: Rfam by way of RNAcentral
UUUUUAGUGUAAGUAUGUCCCACAUAGUAUCUGGGACAUACUUAUACUAAGA